This is a long non-coding RNA of Phyllostomus hastatus (greater spear-nosed bat), 713 nucleotides long. RefSeq lists it as uncharacterized. NCBI's taxonomy places the organism in Eukaryota, Metazoa, Chordata, Mammalia, Chiroptera, Phyllostomidae. The record is from RefSeq and is a predicted model, not a curated record. The transcript has 3 exons.
UUCAACCCUUCUGGGGCUGGCUGUCAGACGGGGCAGUGUUUGCUUAUGGGAUGAGCAGUUGGACGCAGAGAACCCGGAUGGCUAGUUGUCACCCACCCAGCCAAAGAGACUUUUCACGAUAAAAGAAAUGUGUCCUUCAGUAAAAAUGACGCCUUCAGGGUGUAAGAAAAAGAAUGAGCCAAGAGGAAGAUCUUCCUGAGACAGUUCGAGCUGCCAGGGUGGCACGGAGUUUUAACAGUCACCUACUUAGCAAACACGGACGGAGUGUAUGUUUGCAAGGCACUGGAUUAGAAGAUGCACAGGAGGGCCGCUGACCUUUAGGAUGCAGAGGAGCUGCGGUGACAACAGCAGCGAAGUGGAGGAACAGAAAGGUGCCGAUCCCUCCGUGCACGGAGCCCGUCCCGCCAGUACCUUCCCCCUCGGAUGUCCCUCCCUGUGUCACUGCCAUAGUCUGAGGAGUUGAAGCAGCCAGGCACUCUGUCCAGCCUGUGGACGCCUCGCUCAGCAAUCGGAGAAGUAACAACAUUCCAGUGGAUGCCCUGAAUACAACACGUGUGCUUUGGGUGUCAGGCAAAUGUGUCUGAAGGCGAAAACCCCCUGGUACCAGUCACACGGCUGAUGUUUCCACAAAAAGAACUGGAAGACCCUCCUGGGCCUGGCCUGGCCGGUCACCAUCCAUCCUGGGUUGGGGGACACAGGGUUCUGCCAAUGUG